This 390-nucleotide ribosomal RNA is filed under the name Sphingomonas sp. oral taxon F71. RNAcentral describes it as "bacterial SSU rRNA". It matches the Rfam family "Bacterial small subunit ribosomal RNA", at positions 29 to 445 of the family's 1533-position model. Lineage: Bacteria; Pseudomonadati; Pseudomonadota; Alphaproteobacteria; Sphingomonadales; Sphingomonadaceae. The record is from RNAcentral.
AACGAACGCUGGCGGCACGCCUAACACAUGCAAGUCGAACGAAGGCUUCGGCCUUAGUGGCGCACGGGUGCGUAACGCGUGGGAAUCUGCCCUUGGGUCUGGGAUAACGGCGGGAAACUGCCGCUAAUACCGGAUGAUAUCGCGAGAUCAAAGAUUUAUCGCCUGAGGAUGAGCCCGCGUAGGAUUAGGUAGUUGGUGUGGUAAAGGCGCACCAAGCCGACGAUCCUUAGCUGGUCUGAGAGGAUGAUCAGCCACACUGGGACUGAGACACGGCCCAGACUCCUACGGGAGGCAGCAGUGGGGAAUAUUGGACAAUGGGCGCAAGCCUGAUCCAGCAAUGCCGCGUGAGUGAUGAAGGCCUUAGGGUUGUAAAAGCUCUUUUAACCCGGG